CGCGAGCCGAGCGAACCAAAUUGACCUGCACUAGUGCGGUGUGAACUAGACGUGGAUUUGAUACCGGAUCGUCCGAUCAUGUUCCUUCGAUCCUUCAUCGCCCGCCAUGUGUGCCGCUUGCCAUUGUCCGAUAUAUCAGACUGGGCCAGUUCGUGGCAAGACGACUACCGCCGUCGUGUUAUCGGAUUUGCAUUGCAGUUCGUUGACUGAACGAAGCUGACUCUCUCGUUGCAUUGACUGUAUACCGACGAGAGAUAUCCGUGGAGCUUUGUACGAAAUUCGAAAACGAAAAUCACGGUUCAACCGUCUACGCGAAAAGAAGCCACCGAAGGAACUACCAGCGUACGAAUAAAAUCAAGGAAUUGAUUAAUAGAGUUACGAUAUAAACAAGUCGAGACAAGUGUACAUACUCCGAGAACUGCCAAAUCGUCCCCGAUAUCCUGCUCUGUGUCGCCGUAAAGUCUUCGAAGCUUUUGCUCGUUGAAGCUAUACAAGGAACAGUCGGUAAUAGUCGACAGGGGUGGCCAUAGGUAUAGUCGUACCCUAGCCGCCGAUGCUUUCCUCAAAAUCGUUCAACGACGUCGACUCGAGCUCGUCGCUCAUUGCACGAACGACGACGACGAGCGUGACAGUACCGAGAACCGACGACUUCCGGACAUCGCGGAAGUUCGUUGCCGGCCACGCACGUCCCCGAGGAUGGAAUUGAGAGCCUCGCAGCCGAUAAGCGCGCUAGCACCGAUCAUUUUCGAGUACACGACGAAUCGUUGGACAAUCGAAACGAAACAACAGAGGGUGAAUAGUGGGUUAUACUGGGAGUUGGGUGUGGAUAAAGAAGGUGGAAAGACUGAGAGCAGAUACAGCAGGGAGGAGAAAUCUUGGAGAUCGAAGGAAAAAGAAGACGGAAGCAGCAAGGAAGACGCGCGAGAGGGCUUUCUCGACGCGAAAGAAGAAGUCGCUAGAUCGGGAACAGUGAUAAACGAAAGUCCGAAGAAGCAAGAAAGUCGUAGAGAGGAUAGGGCGAUAGAAGACACAGAGGAGAGGAAAGAUACGAGAGAGGGAGAAGAGAAGAAGAAGGAAAAUAAAGAUAUAGAGCGAGAGGGAAGGGAAGAAGAAGAAGAAGAGGGACGUCCCCUGGCAGGAGGGCCCCACAGAUGCGGGGGGAGGGGCCAGUCCGCGGCGGCGUGACGCGAUGCGGACGUCCUCCUCCUCGUCUCCGAGGAAGAGGAAGAGGAAAUACCUCUCGCCUCUCGAUCCUAUCGAAAAGCUGCCUCUCUUGGACAAUAGUUUCGGCCUGUCGUUUAUCUUCCACGAUGUUUACGACGAGCGUGUCAACACUGUCUUCCACUGUGCUCCGGUGUACCAGCGGUGCCUUUGGCCGGAAGCUGUUGCCGAGAAGCGUCGGCCGUCUACCGAGCUCGCAAUUCGUUCAUCGGUUGAUCAAAUUUUCGGCAACGAGCCGGGAUCGUGGCAUUUUUGCAACGACGACGGCGACUCGAGGAAAAACGGUAUCGUCGGGAAAGGAGGGGAGUGGAGGGAAGGAUUUGUACAGACUCGUUGCGAGAAUAGAGCAGACAGAUCGAAAAAGUGUUUGGCAACGAUCGUCGUGUUCCUCGGACUGUUGUGCGGACAUUGGUGCUCUGGUGGAGCGGAGGCACUUGCUGGUAGCCAGAAAUACAGCACGAGAACGGUCAGGACCAGGUACGGCACGUUGCGCGGCGUCGAGGACAGAUCAUCCACGUCUGUCGAGACUUAUUACGGCGUGCCAUACGCCACGCCGCCAAUUGGAGCGUUGCGAUACAUGCCACCGGUUACGCCGACACCGUGGCGCGGCAUCAAGCUGGCGGAUACCAUGCCACCCGCGUGUCCUCAGAAGCCACCGGAACCGGACUCGAGUCUGCCGCGGUCCAAACGGGCUUACCUCGAGAGGCUAGCACCGUUGCUGGCCAACCAGAGCGAAGACUGCCUAUACUUAAACCUCUAUGUGCCCAAAUCUCCUCACGGUAGUACCCCAGACUUAUUACCAGCCCUUCUUCUAAUUCACGGUGAUUCCUAUUCAUGGGGCGCUGGAAAUUCCUUCGACGGCACUGCGUUGGCUGCUUAUGGUCGUCUUAUCGUCGUUUCUAUUAAUUUUCGUCUUGGUGUACUCGGCUUCCUUAAAACAGGUCCGAAAGGGAGCGCGCAAGGAAAUUACGGAUUGAUGGAUCUAGUGGCAGGCCUUCACUGGUUACACGAGAAUCUCGGCGCUUUCGGCGGCGACCCCGAUCGAUUGACGCUCUUUGGCCACGGUACAGGAGCCGCGCUCGCCAACUUUUUAGCCGUCUCACCAAUGGCAAGAGAGCUGGUCGAGAGAGUAGUUUUACUCGGCGGUUCUGCCUUGUCACCCUGGGCUAUACAGCGUGAUCCGUUAACGGCGAAACGUCACGUCGCCAAUCAGACCGAAUGCUCUGGUGACGUGGAGGCUGACGAUAUCGCACCGUGCCUUCGUUUGCGGAGUUUGGAAGAGCUUCUGGCCGUGCAGUGGGAUACCCCGAGAUUCACUUCCGGAUUUGCUCCUUUCGUCGAUGGGGCGGUCAUGCCUCCACCGAUCAAUCAGAAUUUCCAACCGACUGCCUCCUCCUCGGGACUGAUGCCUCUGAUACCUGGACCAGGCACCGAGUUUGCUAAUUUCGGCGAUCGAGAUCUCCUGUUGGGAUUGACGUCCGAGGAAGCUUGGAUAAACCUCACCGACGACGAUCUACAGAACGGAUUGAACGAGACCAGGAGGGAUCGUAUUUUACGCACUUACGUGCGAAACACCUAUCGUUACCACCUUCACGAGAUCUACUCGACCCUCCGUAACGAGUACACGGACUGGGAGAGAGGCGAGCAGAGUCCGUCAGCGAUCUGCGAGGGCCUCCUGUCCCUGCUCGGCGACGGUCAGGUCGCUGCUCCUCUCCUAAGGCUCGCAUUGCUGCACUCGGCGUCCGGAGGACGUGGUUACUUUUUGCAUUUUCAGCUCGGCGACCGACCAAGUCAGAGGGGCGAGGAGGUGCCCUAUCUUUUGGGGAUACCUCUUCUCCGCGGAGAGGUGGUGUCCGUUCUCUUCGCCCAAGCCAACUACACUUUGGCCGAUGAGAACCUGUCCAAACUGCUGGUCCACUACUUGGCCAACUUCGUAAGACGCGGGGACCCGAACGGCGUCAGCCCGUUGACAUCGGGAUCCGACGGGCUUCCGACCAGCCCGCCGUUUUGGGAUUCGUACGAUUCGAUAAAUCAGCUGUACCUAGAGGCCGGUCGUAGCACGGAAAUGCGGUCGCAUUACAGGGGCCACAAGAUGUCUCUGUGGUUGAAUCUGUUGCCGCAACUCCAUCGACCCGGAUACGAAAUCAGCAUGCGUCACCAUCAUCUGGUCGACAGCCCUAGCCUGUACGAAGGUGCGGUGCGCCAGCAGACCGAAGCGCUGCCGUUGCCAGCGCCUCCGCUCCCGGUACCGUCACCCACCGAGCCAUCCUCGAUCUCGAGCGCGAUAUCGACCACCGAGUGUACGCCGAACGCUACGGUCGCGACCACCGUGGCGACUACCUCGAGAACUUUGCAGCAUCCGAACCUGGGCCCAGCGCCUAACAAUCUUCUUAGAAAGCUGGCCUCCAGUCAUUAUCAAAGCUACACCACAGCCCUCACAGUCACCAUAGCCGUUGGCGUGUUUCUCUUGUUACUGAACAUUCUCAUUUUCGCCGGCAUCUACCAUCAGAGGGACAGGAACGCUUCGAACGCGGCCGGAGGUUUAUCUUCGGGCUUUGGAGAUAAGAAGAAGGAGGAGCUAUUGGAAGCAGGGUGUUCCGGUAUCGAGGUGUCCUCGGGAAAACAGAGGCUAUCUUCCUUGAAUCUGAUGGACUCGCCGUCUUCGAGUCCGCCACCGCAUAAAGCGAAACUGGCGCAGGAGUUGGAAUUACAGUUGCAGGAGUUUCAAUGUUCUCCGCCUCCAGGCGGAGGCAAGAGAGUGUUAGAACCACCGUUGUACAGUAGAAGUCCGUGCGUCCAGAGGACGCGCACUCCAUCGCCUUGCGUAGACGCGACCACUGCCAGGACGAAGACGACGACGACGACGACGACGACGACGACGACGAUGACGACGACGACGACGGCGACGACGACGGGGAUAGCGGCAGCGACGAUAACGACGACGAGAAUCUUCCAGAACCUCCACCGCCUCCGAAAGCUCCAGCACCCAACGUCAGCCUGUCCUGUCCAGGAAUCCUCAGGCAACCUGGCACACCCGGUAGCGCCAAGAAACGUGUUCAGAUCCAAGAAAUUUCCGUAUGAGGAGAGUACCUUCUUGCAAUCUCUUUUUGCCGAAAACUCGUUCACCGGCCCAUUCCGACCAUUCGUAGUAAACCCGUCGAGCGAUCCUCGAUCGUCGCUACUGCUGGCGGUAGUCGACCAACAGCUUCGACCAAGAAGAAAUUCAGCGUUUCGAGCGUUCCAAGCCAAAGUCCGUUGUUGCAACGCGCCAUAACUUUCAGACGUUGCAUAUUCGGCUCUGUCGGGAGUUUCUUCGCGCUUAAGAAUUUGAGAUUCUGCAUAGGCCUAGUUGCAAGAGGAUUGGCAGUUUCAAGCGCGUGCUUUCGAAAGAGAAAAGUCGGCGUUUACGGUUUUACGUCGCGCUCGAGAGAAUAUUCGUAGCCGAAGAUCGACGCCAGUUUCGCAUCUAUCUUCGAAGAAUCGAUAAACGGAUUAACGAAGACACGUAAGACGGCAAAUAAAAGCACAAAUCGAUGGCCUUAAAAGAAUUCGAUACUCGAAGCGAUAUAAUAGACGCGACGGGAAGCAACGUCAAAGUCGAAUCAGGCAACCCACGUUCCUACGAGAUUCGACGGGGAGAUAUUUUCCAAUAUUUCUCACAACUCGACGAAAAGCGGAGAAAAGGAGGAAGCAACGGAACGGACAAGCGAUAACGACGUAUAAACAA
RNA transcript from Bombus impatiens (common eastern bumble bee), 4948 nucleotides. It is a transcript of the gene named neuroligin-1, with no coding region annotated. The transcript has 10 exons. NCBI's taxonomy places the organism in Eukaryota, Metazoa, Arthropoda, Insecta, Hymenoptera, Apidae. The record is from RefSeq and is a predicted model, not a curated record.